AGCGGAUUGGUGGGCGGGCGUAUGGCGGCCAGGCCUGGACCGCCACGAGGCUGGGUGGCGCCGUGGGGUUGCUCUUCCUGGCGCCCCAAGUCACCAAGGCUGAAAGGGGAGGUGAGGGCUCUCAGGGACGAACCCUUGUUCUCGCUGAUGGCGGUGGGCGAGCCCACCUAACAGGGAUCCGCCGCCGGGGUGAGGCGAGGAGCAGGCUUUCCAGGGCCUGGAGGUCGAGUGCCCAGACCCUGAGGAGAGGGGCUUACUGCCCCGCUGCAGAGGAGCGGCGCCAGAUGGAUGAGGAGUUGAGGUCGCGGGGGUGCUGAGCCCCGCCGAAGUGGAAGUGACUGGCUACCAGAAUCUGAAAACCCCACAUCACUUGGAUGAGCGGGGAUCAGAGCUGAAACUCCACCACAUACCAGCAGUGGGACCUGAAGGCUGCAGCAAUGUGGCUGAUGUUUGAAAGGCAGCUGGGUAGCCUGGCCACAGGGACCCGAAGAACGGGUAUGCCUUUCUGCUCUGGAGCGUCCUUGGAGCCGUCAGCAGCAGCGUCCCCCCUCUGAAGCCCCGACACGACUCUGUGUGGUACCACUGAACCUCCAUGAUGCCACCUCCUUGAUUUGAAACCUUACCGCUUCAGCCCCUCCCUGAUGGGAGUCUAGCCUCGCCCUCUGAAGGAAAGGUUUGCUCAGAAAACAGAAUUUUGUGCACAGUCUCGGGAGGUAAGGCGUCGUCUUCACCCUCCACCAGAACCUGCCUGUUCUUAAGGGUUUCCGUGUUGCAUGAUCUGCAGAUUAGAGUUGGGUCACGUCUAGCUUUGAAUAAAGGCCCAGCAAGGGGCCUCUUAGAAAUACCUUGUCACAGCUGACCUUAGGUUCACCACGGGGCUUCUUUAAGAUGGUCCGACUAAUUCAUGGUGGCCACCCCACGGCCUGUAGCUGCCUGAGACAAGAGGAUUUACUGUACCAGUUUACUGCCAGGCUGUAUCAGCUGAGAAGCAGGAAACUCUAGACCAUCUGUUUAAAAAUAAAAAUAAAACAAAAAAUUAACAGC
Molecule: long non-coding RNA, 1044 nt
Organism: Kogia breviceps (pygmy sperm whale)
Lineage: Eukaryota; Metazoa; Chordata; Mammalia; Artiodactyla; Physeteridae
Source: RefSeq, a predicted model, not a curated record